This 404-nucleotide ribosomal RNA is filed under the name Actinomycetes bacterium. RNAcentral's name for it is "Actinobacteria bacterium partial 16S ribosomal RNA". It matches the Rfam family "Bacterial small subunit ribosomal RNA", at positions 355 to 776 of the family's 1533-position model. Lineage: Bacteria; Bacillati; Actinomycetota; Actinomycetes. The record is from RNAcentral.
UGGGGAAUAUUGGACAAUGGGCGCAAGCCUGAUCCAGCCAUGCCGCGUGAGUGAUGAAGGCCCUAGGGUUGUAAAGCUCUUUCACCGGUGAAGAUAAUGACGGUAACCGGAGAAGAAGCCCCGGCUAACUUCGUGCCAGCAGCCGCGGUAAUACGAAGGGGGCUAGCGUUGUUCGGAUUUACUGGGCGUAAAGCGCACGUAGGCGGACUAUUAAGUCAGGGGUGAAAACCCGGGGCUCAACCCCGGAACUGCCUUUGAUACUGGUAGUCUUGAGUUCGAGGGAGGUGAGUGGAAUUCCGAGUGUAGAAGUGAAAUUCGUAGAUAUUCGGAGGAACACCAGUGGCGAAGGCGGCUCACUGGCUCGAUACUGACGCUGAGGUGCGAAAGCGGGGGGAGCAAACAGG